GACGAACGCUGGCGGCGUGCUUAACACAUGCAAGUCGAACGGAAAGGCCCUGCUUUUGUGGGGUGCUCGAGUGGCGAACGGGUGAGUAACACGUGAGUAACCUGCCCUUGACUUUGGGAUAACUUCAGGAAACUGGGGCUAAUACCGGAUAGGAGCUCCUGCUGCAUGGUGGGGGUUGGAAAGUUUCGGCGGUUGGGGAUGGACUCGCGGCUUAUCAGCUUGUUGGUGGGGUAGUGGCUUACCAAGGCUUUGACGGGUAGCCGGCCUGAGAGGGUGACCGGCCACAUUGGGACUGAGAUACGGCCCAGACUCCUACGGGAGGCAGCAGUGGGGAAUAUUGCACAAUGGGCGGAAGCCUGAUGCAGCAACGCCGCGUGCGGGAUGACGGCCUUCGGGUUGUAAACCGCUUUCGCCUGUGACGAAGCGUGAGUGACGGUAAUGGGUAAAGAAGCACCGGCUAACUACGUGCCAGCAGCCGCGGUGAUACGUAGGGUGCGAGCGUUGUCCGGAUUUAUUGGGCGUAAAGGGCUCGUAGGUGGUUGAUCGCGUCGGAAGUGUAAUCUUGGGGCUUAACCCUGAGCGUGCUUUCGAUACGGGUUGACUUGAGGAAGGUAGGGGAGAAUGGAAUUCCUGGUGGAGCGGUGGAAUGCGCAGAUAUCAGGAGGAACACCAGUGGCGAAGGCGGUUCUCUGGGCCUUUCCUGACGCUGAGGAGCGAAAGCGUGGGGAGCGAACAGGCUUAGAUACCCUGGUAGUCCACGCUGUAAACGGUGGGUACUAGGUGUGGGGUCCAUUCCACGGGUUCCGUGCCGUAGCUAACGCUUUAAGUACCCCGCCUGGGGAGUACGGCCGCAAGGCUAAAACUCAAAGGAAUUGACGGGGCCCUGCACAAGCGGCGGAGCAUGCGGAUUAAUUCGAUGCAACGCGUAGAACCUUACCUGGGUUUGACAUGGAUCGGGAGCGCUCAGAGAUGGGUGUGCCUCUUUUGGGGUCGGUUCACAGGUGGUGCAUGGCUGUCGUCAGCUCGUGUCGUGAGAUGUUGGGUUAAGUCCCGCAACGAGCGCAACCCUUGUUCACUGUUGCCAGCACGUUAUGGUGGGGACUCAGUGGAGACCGCCGGGGUCAACUCGGAGGAAGGUGGGGAUGACGUCAAGUCAUCAUGCCCCUUAUGUCCAGGGCUUCACGCAUGCUACAAUGGCUGGUACAGAGAGUGGCGAGCCUGUGAGGGUGAGCGAAUCUCGGAAAGCCGGUCUCAGUUCGGAUUGGGGUCUGCAACUCGACCUCAUGAAGUCGGAGUCGCUAGUAAUCGCAGAUCAGCAACGCUGCGGUGAAUACGUUCCCGGG
This 1343-nucleotide ribosomal RNA is filed under the name uncultured bacterium. RNAcentral's name for it is "16S ribosomal RNA". It matches the Rfam family "Bacterial small subunit ribosomal RNA", at positions 28 to 1378 of the family's 1533-position model. The record is from RNAcentral.